CUCUUAAGACUGUUUUAUUUUGUUCUAUUUUCAAAGAAAACAGAUUUAGAAGAGUGUAAGCAUAAAUUUUUGCAACCUACUCUUAAUAAGAGUUCAACCUCUCCUCUAGCCUACCACACAGCAGAGGUAGUGGAAGGGAAACGUUAUUAGGAUAUGGGAAAUUGGAUCUGGUCAGCAAUAGUUCUUUUGAGGCGAGCUCAGUCUUUUUGGCCAGCAGUUCAGUCUUGUAGCAAACACCAAAUACAACUCAGCAGCUGCAGACCAGUCCUCUCGGGCAGGCAGACACCACACACGAACCAUCAGCUGCAGUCCAGUCCUUUCUGCAGGUGACACCAGGCACAAACCCAGCAACUGUAGUUCAAUCCUGAAGAAACUGCAAGGCUUGCCACCUGGCCUGAGGCAAGGCUGCUGCAAGGGACAAGAUGCUAGAGGAACCUCACAAACAGUCCUUGGGAUGCACUGACCUAUGAUGAUGUGUAUGUGAACUUCACUCAAGAAGAAUGGGCUUUGCUAAAUCCUUCACAGAAGAGUCUCUACAAAGAUGUGAUGUUGGAGACCUACAGGAACCUCAAUGCUGUAGGCUACAAUUGGGAAGACAGUAAUAUUGAAGAACAUUGUGAAAGCUCCAGAAGACAUGGAAGGUAAUUUUCAUGUGCAAAUGCUAUGAAUUUGCCUCUGAAGAAAUGUUCAUGUGUCCUGGUACUUUAAAAGAAAAGCAACAGUGAAAAAAAAAAAAGCACUUCUUUAAGUGUAUUGAUUAUUAAAUUUUUACAAAUGCACGUACAUCAAUGCCAGGUGUCUCAUUUGUGUUUAAAGGCAUUUUUCUUUAAGAUAAGACAAGGAAACAAUACCUUAACUAAUAUUACCAUUUGACUAAUAGCCACAUUCCAGCUACUCUGUUGUAUUGCCAAACUAGUCUCAUACCACUCACAUUGCCAUAUAUAUAUUGCCAAGAUAUAUAUUUCGUGAUAAGUAUAUGUUCCCAAUAAGCAAAUGUUCCAUAGUAAAGCUAAUUACUCAUAUAAUAGCAUUGCUAAAUUUAAGUGAGUGGGGCAGUUUAUGAGAGUCAGGAAUGUUGUUGAAGAGAAACCUAUGAUGAACAAACAGCCAAAUUGCUUGAAUGCAAUGUGGAAAUCUUUCAUUUGCUAUUCUUUUUUUUAAUAGGUAUAUCCUGUGUCACAAUGGAUACAAGCCGUGUGAGCAUAGGGAUAUUGAAAUAAGCAAUGUACCUCUCUCUCUCCCAGAAUAAUUGAAAUGAAUGUAGUAGUCCACACUUGAGCAAACUUUCUCAGUGUGAUACAAGUUUAUAAAUGGUUGGUUUUCCAUCUUUAGUGGACUAUAUCCAUAAACUCGCACUGUAGAAAAUCCUUUUGAGUACUAGGAUUCUGGACCUUAUUAUCUGUUUGUACUGGUUUUCCUUUGCCAAUAUAGUGUGAAAAUAUAGUGUAUUUCACAAUAUAGGAAAUUUAUGUAUAUACUCAGUAUGGUAAAGCUCUGAGCUCUUGCAUUUCUCUUAAAAUUUGUGAAAAAUCUCAUAGAGAAAAAUGACGC
This is a long non-coding RNA of Mus musculus (house mouse), 1551 nucleotides long. RefSeq annotates it as predicted gene 15446. The transcript is spliced from 3 exons. NCBI's taxonomy places the organism in Eukaryota, Metazoa, Chordata, Mammalia, Rodentia, Muridae. The record is from RefSeq and is marked validated.